UCGAGCCAUUUCAUGUUGUAGAUUAUUAGCUUGUAAGUACAAUGCAGAAUGUUGGUAGUUGUUCACUGUUUUUAUUAGUGCUUGAACAGUACAAGCACUCACUAGUCAAGUCCCAUUUGUCCAACACUUCUGAGCUGCAACAAAAGCACAUUUUUGUGGAUCCUGGUGUAAUCAAGCAUUACACAGCUGUGUGAAAUGAUUCUUAGUAUUUUACAACUGAAAUGAAACACUUCCCUGGGUUGGAAUCGAGAUCAUUUCACAAUAUUAUGAAUAAAUACAAUACAGAACGGAAGAAAGAAACAGGACAUUGAGGAACAGUAGAGAAUAUUUUGUUUGUUAACCUUCUUCAUGAUUAGACAUGAAAAAAGCACGAUUUCCUGUAUCAAAACAGAACAAAACGACACCCUGUUCAAACGGAAUCUAAUGCUAUACCAUUUAGAUUUAUAUUUGUAUCUUUUGUUUGUGUCUGUCCCUCAUCAGGCUUCUCUCUCUGACCUACAAGUGACCCAAACACGGGAGCAUGAGGACCAAGGCAGUGGCAGGAGAAAGGAGUUGCUUCAGAGGGCAGGACAUUUUCUUCACAAGUUUGUUCUUUUGGAAUGUUUUCCGAAGGCCACUGACAAUCUGGAAACCUCCCCUUCGAAGCUCCAAUUAUCCUCCACUUCCACCACAUCACACAUUGGAUCCAGUGCCAGAACUCCCCAACCCUUUUCCUCUCUACUACCAGGGGCUCUGGCAGCUGUCCUGCGUACCGCUGUUCCAUCUCCCCUGACCUCUGACCCUGGGCUGAGAAGCCGUCCUGCUGGGCAAGUUCCAGCCACUCUAGAAGACCUGAGUACAGAGCUAUGUGACUUGAGGGAGGAGAUGGAACUCAUGAAGAGCCAACAUAACAAAGAAAUUAAACUGCUGAUGAAUGAGCUGGAUGAAGAGAAGAAAAUCCGCUUGUCAUUACAGGUGGAGGUGCAACGGAUGAAGAAGAAAAUGUCCAAAUGAAAUAUGCACAAUGAGUUCAUGAGUACAGUCACAAAACAACAACUUGCUUUUCUUUCUCAGGAAAGCCCCUAUAUGAAACUCAGUCAUUAACAAGUAUU
Molecule: RNA transcript, 1091 nt
Organism: Osmerus eperlanus (European smelt)
Lineage: Eukaryota; Metazoa; Chordata; Actinopteri; Osmeriformes; Osmeridae
Gene name: SH3 domain-containing kinase-binding protein 1
Exons: 4
Source: RefSeq, a predicted model, not a curated record